This 612-nucleotide ribosomal RNA is filed under the name uncultured archaeon. Its description in RNAcentral is "bacterial SSU rRNA". It matches the Rfam family "Archaeal small subunit ribosomal RNA", at positions 1 to 623 of the family's 1478-position model. The record is from RNAcentral.
UUCCGGUUGAUCCUGCCGGACCUGACUGCUAUCGGAUUGAUACUAAGCCAUGCGAGUCAUUGUAGCAAUACAAGGCAGACGGCUCAGUAACGCGUAGUCAACCUAACCUAUGGACGGGAAUAACCUCGGGAAACUGAGAAUAAUGCCCGAUAGAACACUAUACCUGGAAUGGUUUGUGUUCCAAAUGAUUUAUCGCCGUAGGAUGGGACUGCGGCCUAUCAGUUUGUUGGUGAGGUAAUGGCCCACCAAGACUAUUACAGGUACGGGCUCUGAGAGGAGUAGCCCGGAGAUGGGUACUGAGACACGGACCCAGGCCCUAUGGGGCGCAGCAGGCGAGAAAACUUUGCAAUGUGCGAAAGCACGACAAGGUUAAUCCGAGUGGUUUGUGCUAAACGAACCUUUUGUCGGUCCUAGAAACACCGAUGAAUAAGGGGUGGGCAAGUUCUGGUGUCAGCCGCCGCGGUAACACCAGCCCCUCGAGUGGUGGGGAUGAUUAUUUGGCCUAAAGCGUCCGUAGCCGGCGCUGUAAGUUUUCGUUAAAUCCGUACGCUCAACGUCAGGACUGCGGGAAUACUGCAGCGCUAGGAGUGGGAGAGGUAGACGGUACUCGGG